This 476-nucleotide ribosomal RNA is filed under the name uncultured Alphaproteobacteria bacterium. RNAcentral describes it as "bacterial SSU rRNA". It matches the Rfam family "Bacterial small subunit ribosomal RNA", at positions 9 to 524 of the family's 1533-position model. Lineage: Bacteria; Pseudomonadati; Pseudomonadota; Alphaproteobacteria. The record is from RNAcentral.
GAGUUUGAUCCUGGCUCAGAGCGAACGCUGGCGGCAGGCCUAACACAUGCAAGUCGAGGGGCCGUAGCAAUACGGCACCGGCAGACGGGAGAGUAACACGUGGGAACGUGCCCUUCAGUUCGGAACAACCCAGGGAAACUUGGGCUAAUACCGGAUACGCCCUUACGGGGAAAGAUUUAUCGCUGAAGGAGCGGCCCGCGUCUGAUUAGCUUAUUGGUGAGGUAACGGCUCACCAAGGCGACGAUCAGUAGCUGGUCUGAGAGGAUGAUCAGCCUCACUGGGACUGAGACACGGCCCAGACUCCUACGGGAGGCAGCAGUGGGGAAUAGUUGGACAAUGGGCGCGAAGCCUGGUCCAGCCAUGCCGCGUGGAUGAUGAAGGCCCUAGGGUUGUAAAGUCCUUUCGGCGGGGAAGAUAAUGACGGUACCCGCAGAAGAAGCCCCGGCUAACUUCGUGCCAGCAGCCGCCGCGGUAAU